RNAcentral lists this transfer RNA (84 nucleotides) under bacterium. Its description in RNAcentral is "tRNA-Leu". It matches the Rfam family "tRNA". Rfam says of the family: Transfer RNA (tRNA) molecules are approximately 80 nucleotides in length. Their secondary structure includes four short double-helical elements and three loops (D, anti-codon, and T loops). The record is from RNAcentral.
GGGCACGUGGCGAAAUUGGCAGACGCGCUACGUUCAGGUCGUAGUUCCCGCAAGGGAUUGGGAGUUCGAGUCUCCCCGUGCCCA